This is a small nuclear RNA of Talpa occidentalis (Iberian mole), 107 nucleotides long. Lineage: Eukaryota; Metazoa; Chordata; Mammalia; Eulipotyphla; Talpidae. The record is from RefSeq and is a predicted model, not a curated record.
GUGCUUGCUUUGGCGGCAUAUAUCCUAAAGUUGGAACAGCACAGAGAAGAUUAGCAUGGCCUUGGCAUGAGGAAGACAUACAAAUUCAUGAAGGAUAACACAUUUUU